AGUGUAGGCGGCUUCGUAAGUCGGAUGUGAAAGCCCUGGGCUUAACCUGGGAAUGGCAUUCGAUACUGCGCGGCUAGAGUCUGAUAGAGGGAUGUGGAAUUCCAGGUGUAGCGGUGAAAUGCGUAGAGAUCUGGAGGAACACCAGUGGCGAAGGCGGCAUCCUGGAUCAAGACUGACGCUGAGGCUCGAAAGCGUGGGGAGCAAACAGGAUUAGAUACCCUGGUAGUC
Molecule: ribosomal RNA, 228 nt
Filed under: uncultured bacterium
Lineage: Bacteria
Description: partial 16S ribosomal RNA
Rfam family: Bacterial small subunit ribosomal RNA
Source: RNAcentral